Esox lucius (northern pike) is the source of this 1875-nucleotide long non-coding RNA. The record is from Ensembl. NCBI's taxonomy places the organism in Eukaryota, Metazoa, Chordata, Actinopteri, Esociformes, Esocidae.
CCAAUCCUCUGAAAGCCUGUCACACACACACACAGGCCCAUUAGGAGAUUAGCAUGAUAGUUAGAUGACAGUCAGUGUGACCACCAUCAUAUGAUGGUGUGUGAGCGCAUGUGUCCAUGUUGCUUAUUGUAUAUCAAUAGCGACAGACAUUGCUCAGAGCAAAUAAAUAAAGUAAACCAGAAUUUUUUUUUGACAGUAAUCGACUAAAACCCUUUCUGCCACGUAUAAUCUGAAUUAGUUCAUUACCUCAAACCCAAUUAAUCCAUUCAUAAGGUUUUAAAGAGUGUGAAGAUUAAUUUUAAGGUGGGGUUGAAAAAAUUCUGUAAACAUAGUGGAAUAGAAAAAAAGACAAUGAGAGAGAGAGAGAGACGGAGGGACGUCUCUGGAAGUUUACUUAAGGAAGAGAGCAUGGAGAUGAGGUUCCACAAGAAGAAGAGAAAGAAGAAAACAAGGGAACAAUUACAUAGCAUGAACACCAUGAUAGAUGCAGGAUGGAAUAGCAACAAGAACAGGAUGGAUGUAAGAUAGAAUAUCAGGAUGGAUGGAAAGGUUAGUGUGGUAGCAAGAUGGUAGAUAAGAUAGAUAGAUAGAUAGACAAACAAAUCCACUUGUGCAGCGAAGUACAGCAAAAUAGAUCUUACUGUAUGGAGUGAAGCAGAGUAGGGAGACUAGGAGUAGCGUGUAGCUCAGGAUAGCCGUCAUAUCGGAUGAUAUCGGUUCUUCGAGGUCCUUCCCUAGAACAAUCUCACAAUAGAAAGCAGGUUGUUUGUUUUGAGGUCCUUCCCUGGAACAAUUUCACAAUAGAAAGCAGGUUGUUUGUUUUGAGGUCCUUCCCUGGAACAAUCUCACAAUAGAAAGCAGGUUGUUUGCUUCGAGGUCCUUCCCAGGAACAAUCUCACAAUAGAAAGCAAGUUGUUUGCUUCGAGGUCCUUCCCUGGAACAAUCUCACAAUAGAAAGCAAGUUGUUUGCUUCGAGGUCCUUCCCUGGAACAAUCUCACAAUAGAAAGCAGGUUGUGUGCUUCGAGGUCCUUCCCUGGAGUGAUGUGCAGGUUGUUUGCUGCUAAACCCUUCUGAUCUUAAUCCUGUCUUCUGCUCGCAGGGAAUAAAUACCCCGGUCUGCCUCUAAGGACCAGGAGAUUAGCAGUUAGCAGUAACUUCUCCACUGAGGGCGUCUUGCUCAGUUAGCAGCUAGGCUAACUCUGUCUGUCUUAACCAUCCAGGUGCUUCUUUCCAACCAAACUACUCAGUGGAAUCAUGGGGAAGUGGUGGGUGUCAUCUGACUUUGUCAACAUCUUAAUCAGAUCUGACUCCACCCAACUCCCCCCACCUCUGCCCUGGUGGGGCUAGGUAUGGUGGGACUAUUGUGUGGUGAGACUAGGUGUGUUGGGACUAGGUGCGGUGGGACUACUGUGUGGUGGGACUUGGCUUGGUGGGACUAGGUAUGGUGGGACUAGGUGUGUUAGGACUAGGUUUGGUGGCACUAGGUGUGGUGGGACUAUUGUGUGUUGGAACUAGGUGUGUUGGGACCAGGUGUAGUGAGACUAGGUGUGUUGGGACUAGGUGUGUUGGGACCAGGUGUAGUGAGACUAGGUGUGGAGGGACUAGGUGUGUUGGGACCAGGUGUAGUGAGACUAGGUGUGGAGGGACUAGGUGUGGUGGGACUAGGUGUGUUGGGACUAGGUGUGUUGGGACAUGAAGAGCGCAGUUCACAGACACUCCUUCCAAUCUGACAGAGUUUGAGAGGAUCUGCAAGGACGUUUGGGAGAAAAUGCCUAAAUCCAGGUGUGCAAAACUGGUGGAGGCAUACCCAAAGGAUUGCCUCGACUCAAAGGACUUGAAGCUGAUUGAGGCUCACCCAAAGGACUCGAGGCUGG